UGGGGAAUUUUGGACAAUGGGCGAAAGCCUGAUCCAGCAAUGCCGCGUGUGUGAAGAAGGCCUUCGGGUUGUAAAGCACUUUUGUCCGGAAAGAAAUCCUUGGCUCUAAUACAGUCGGGGGAUGACGGUACCGGAAGAAUAAGCACCGGCUAACUACGUGCCAGCAGCCGCGGUAAUACGUAGGGUGCAAGCGUUAAUCGGAAUUACUGGGCGUAAAGCGUGCGCAGGCGGUUUGCUAAGACCGAUGUGAAAUCCCCGGGCUCAACCUGGGAACUGCAUUUGGUGACUGGCAGGCUAGAGUAUGGCAGAGGGGGUAGAAUUCCACGUGUAGCAGUGAAAUGCGUAGAGAUGUGGAGGAAUACCGAUGGCGAAGGCAGCCCCCUGGGCCAAUACUGACGCUCAUGCACGAAAGCGUGGGGGAGCAAACAGGAUUAGAUACCCUGGUAGUCCACGCCCUAAACGAUGUCAACUAGUUGUUGGGGAUUCAUUUCCUUAGUAACGUAGCUAACGCGUGAAGUUGACCGCCUGGGGAGUACGGUCGCAAGAUUAAACUCAAAUGAAUUGACGGGGUCAUAGCUGUUUCCU
Molecule: ribosomal RNA, 585 nt
Filed under: uncultured bacterium
Lineage: Bacteria
Description: partial 16S ribosomal RNA
Rfam family: Bacterial small subunit ribosomal RNA
Source: RNAcentral